RNAcentral lists this long non-coding RNA (1630 nucleotides) under Volvox carteri. Its description in RNAcentral is "long non-coding RNA (VCAR_LNC000547)". The record is from RNAcentral. Lineage: Eukaryota; Viridiplantae; Chlorophyta; Chlorophyceae; Chlamydomonadales; Volvocaceae.
CCGGCCCGAACGGCCUCAUAAGCAGUUGAUGCGCGAGGUCCACAAAACUGCCGGCCCGAACAGCCUCACAAGCAGUUGAUGCGCGAGGUCCACGAAACUGCCGGCCCGAACGGCCUCAUAAGCAGUUGAUGCGCGAGGUCCACGAAACUGCCGGCCCGAACGGCCUCAUAAGCAGUUGAUGCGCGAGGUCCACGAAACUGCCGGCCCGAACGGCCUCAUAAGCAGUUGAUGCGCGAGGUCCACGAAACUGCCGGCCCGAACGGCCUCAUAAGCAGUUGAUGCGCGAGGUCCACGAAACUGCCGGCCCAUACGGCCUCACAAGCAGUUGAUGCGCGAGGUCCACGAAACUGCCGGCCCGAACGGCCACAUAAACAGGCGAUGCGCAAUUCCACGAAAACUGCCGGCCCAUACGUCCUCACAAGCAGUCGAUGCGCGAGGUCCACGAAACUGCCGGCCCGAACGGCCACAUAAACAGGCGAUGCGCGAUAUCCAAAAACUGUCGGCCACAUCUGCCUGCGCAGGCAGUCCAAGCGCGGUAGUACUAGCUAGAUAUAACCUUGGGGAAAGCGCUCUCGGCUUCGUGACUUGUGGUAGUUAAGCCCGGUGUCCGGUAGUUGCUGUGGCGCAUCACACCGCCAGUGCCUGAAGGGGGCCGGUGGACAGAGCCAGGGUAGGUUGCAUGCCUGCUGCAGGAGCCUGUCGCGUUAGCCCAGCCGUUGAGACCCACGCUGCCUGCUGGCCGCAUGAGCCCAGUGUGAAUGGUGGUGGUUCGUCCGUGGGCGUCCUCGAACAUGCGAUCCUCCGUUGCCCAGCGUCCUGGCAGGUUGUAAACCUUGCCCCGGAAAUGUGGCGAAUACGACAAAGGAUCUGUACAACAUUAUUUGUAACUGGGUGUGACAGCCGGAGAAUUCAGUAGUUGUGUAACAGUAUGUGUGAAAGACGCUCGAAUAAACGACACCGAAGUGGUACGCAUUAGAAUUCACAACUCAAGAUAACAACAUUUCAUAACGGAUUUGAACUCCUAAUGUAUGGUGGCGUUCCUAGCGGCAAUGGAAGCUAAAUAGCGGAGGUUGGUUAACCACGUGACAGCUUUCAGCAACGCCUGACCUUCUUCGGACGCAUCAUCCGCCAUUGCUGUUCAAAUUAAGUUAAUGCGCUCAAUAGCGACGCGCACAACCUUCACCAAGGCCCAGGAUCCGCGUAAUUGCGGGUGGCUGGCUAAGGGCCGGCGGCUCCGCACAUUGUAAAAGAUUAUCGCUUCGGGCUGAGCUAACAUCAGCUGGGUUAGCUCCUCGUGCUCCUUCAGCCUCCGGUCGAAGUAAGCUGUGAGUGCUGGCGAAAUAACUCGCGCUCCUCAGCUAGCUGCUGUUCGAAGAGGGCCCGCAUUUCGGGAGUGAGCACUAAUCUUUCUGCGCCCGCAGCGCCAAUUUCCAUAGCCGACAUUCGAUUCUAGUAUUGCUAAGAAAAGACGGUGCAACACAUAACUAGAGGACACUGUCCCAGCAGCGGGACACACCUCUUGGUAAUAGUCAAAACAACGGCAGUUAAAGAACCAAUGCGCCUGUGGGACCCAAGUAGGAGCUCGGCGUCCCUUGCCGUACUGCGGUCCGGCACAUGCAUGCAUGCAUGC